GUGCCAGCAGCCGCGGUAAUACGUAGGUGGCAAGCGUUGUCCGGAAUUAUUGGGCGUAAAGCGCGCGCAGGCGGUCCUUUAAGUCUGAUGUGAAAGCCCCCGGCUCAACCGGGGAGGGUCAUUGGAAACUGGGGGACUUGAGUGCAGGAGAGGGAAGUGGAAUUCCACGUGUAGCGGUGAAAUGCGUAGAGAUGUGGAGGAACACCAGUGGCGAAGGCGGCUCUCUGGUCUGUAACUGACGCUGAGGCGCGAAAGCGUGGGGAGCAAACAGGAUUAGAUACCCUUGUAGUCC
Molecule: ribosomal RNA, 292 nt
Filed under: uncultured Anoxybacillus sp.
Lineage: Bacteria; Bacillati; Bacillota; Bacilli; Caryophanales; Anoxybacillaceae
Description: partial 16S ribosomal RNA
Rfam family: Bacterial small subunit ribosomal RNA
Source: RNAcentral